UGCAGUCGAGCGGUAGCACAGAGAGCUUGCUCUCGGGUGACGAGCGGCGGACGGGUGAGUAAUGUCUGGGAAACUGCCUGAUGGAGGGGGAUAACUACUGGAAACGGUAGCUAAUACCGCAUAACGUCGCAAGACCAAAGUGGGGGACCUUCGGGCCUCAUGCCAUCAGAUGUGCCCAGAUGGGAUUAGCUAGUAGGUGGGGUAAUGGCUCACCUAGGCGACGAUCCCUAGCUGGUCUGAGAGGAUGACCAGCCACACUGGAACUGAGACACGGUCCAGACUCCUACGGGAGGCAGCAGUGGGGAAUAUUGCACAAUGGGCGCAAGCCUGAUGCAGCCAUGCCGCGUGUAUGAAGAAGGCCUUCGGGUUGUAAAGUACUUUCAGCGAGGAGGAAGGCGUUAAGGUUAAUAACCUUGGCGAUUGACGUUACUCGCAGAAGAAGCACCGGCUAACUCCGUGCCAGCAGCCGCGGUAAUACGGAGGGUGCAAGCGUUAAUCGGAAUUACUGGGCGUAAAGCGCACGCAGGCGGUCUGUCAAGUCGGAUGUGAAAUCCCCGGGCUCAACCUGGGAACUGCAUUCGAAACUGGCAGGCUAGAGUCUUGUAGAGGGGGGUAGAAUUCCAGGUGUAGCGGUGAAAUGCGUAGAGAUCUGGAGGAAUACCGGUGGCGAAGGCGGCCCCCUGGACAAAGACUGACGCUCAGGUGCGAAAGCGUGGGGAGCAAACAGGAUUAGAUACCCUGGUAGUCCACGCCGUAAACGAUGUCGACUUGGAGGUUGUGCCCUUGAGGCGUGGCUUCCGGAGCUAACGCGUUAAGUCGACCGCCUGGGGAGUACGGCCGCAAGGUUAAAACUCAAAUGAAUUGACGGGGGCCCGCACAAGCGGUGGAGCAUGUGGUUUAAUUCGAUGCAACGCGAAGAACCUUACCUGGUCUUGACAUCCACAGAACUUUCCAGAGAUGGAUUGGUGCCUUCGGGAACUGUGAGACAGGUGCUGCAUGGCUGUCGUCAGCUCGUGU
RNAcentral lists this ribosomal RNA (1017 nucleotides) under Klebsiella aerogenes. RNAcentral describes it as "bacterial SSU rRNA". It matches the Rfam family "Bacterial small subunit ribosomal RNA", at positions 56 to 1065 of the family's 1533-position model. The record is from RNAcentral. Lineage: Bacteria; Pseudomonadati; Pseudomonadota; Gammaproteobacteria; Enterobacterales; Enterobacteriaceae.